UUAGGAAUAUUCGUCAAUGGAGGAAACUCUGAACGAGCAAUGCCGCGUGAGCGAUGAAGGCCCUAUGGGUCGUAAAGCUCUGUUGUGAAGGAAGAAUGAUUGAUAUAGGGAAUGAUAUCAAAGUGACGGUACUUCACCAGAAAGCCCCGGCUAACUACGUGCCAGCAGCCGCGGUAAUACGUAGGGGGCGAGCGUUAUCCGGAUUUAUUGGGCGUAAAGCGUGUGUAGGCGGUUUAUUAAGUAUAAGAUCAAAGCCUGGAGCUCAACUCCAGUAAGUCUUAUAAACUGGUAGACUAGAGUAUG
RNAcentral lists this ribosomal RNA (303 nucleotides) under uncultured bacterium. RNAcentral describes it as "bacterial SSU rRNA". It matches the Rfam family "Bacterial small subunit ribosomal RNA", at positions 355 to 650 of the family's 1533-position model. The record is from RNAcentral.